This 198-nucleotide ribosomal RNA is filed under the name uncultured bacterium. RNAcentral describes it as "partial 16S ribosomal RNA". It matches the Rfam family "Bacterial small subunit ribosomal RNA", at positions 326 to 539 of the family's 1533-position model. The record is from RNAcentral.
ACGCUCGACACCUACGGGAAGCAGCAGUGGGGAAUAUUGCACAAUGGGGGAAACCCUGAUGCAGCGACGCCGCGUGGAGGAAGAAGGUCUUCGGAUUGUAAACUCCUGUUGUUGGGGAAAAAGAGGAUGGUACCCAACAAGGAAGUGACGGCUAACUACGUGCCAGCAGCCUCGGUAAUCUGAGCGGGCUGGCAAGGC